GACGAACGCUGGCGGCGUGCUUAACACAUGCAAGUCGAACGGAAAGGCCCUACUUUUGUGGGGUGCUCGAGUGGCGAACGGGUGAGUAACACGUGAGUAACCUGCCCUUGACUUUGGGAUAACUUCAGGAAACUGGGGCUAAUACCGGAUAGGAGCUCCUGCUGCAUGGUGGGGGUUGGAAAGUUUCGGCGGUUGGGGAUGGACUCGCGGCUUAUCAGCUUGUUGGUGGGGUAGUGGCUUACCAAGGCUUUGACGGGUAGCCGGCCUGAGAGGGUGACCGGCCACAUUGGGACUGAGAUACGGCCCAGACCCCUACGGGAGGCAGCAGUGGGGAAUAUUGCACAAUGGGCGGAAGCCUGAUGCAGCAACGCCGCGUGCGGGAUGACGGCCUUCGGGUUGUAAACCGCUUUCGCCUGUGACGAAGCGUGAGUGACGGUAAUGGGUAAAGAAGCACCGGCUAACUACGUG
This 468-nucleotide ribosomal RNA is filed under the name uncultured bacterium. RNAcentral describes it as "partial 16S ribosomal RNA". It matches the Rfam family "Bacterial small subunit ribosomal RNA", at positions 28 to 507 of the family's 1533-position model. The record is from RNAcentral.